UUUUUGGAUUUGUAGUGUUUAUUGCGUGUAGCUACCUUAUUUGUUACUACUUUCCUUUAAUUGAGCCAAAUCUCGACAUGCCUAUGAAAUCCCCGAUUUCAGCCUCCUCGAGAAUCUCCUCUCCGGCGAAUUUCUGGCGGAAAUCUCUGACACUCUACCGACAGACUCGUAUAAUAUAAUUGAUACAUUUUUUAUUUUAAAAUAAAAACU
RNAcentral lists this long non-coding RNA (210 nucleotides) under Arabidopsis lyrata. RNAcentral's name for it is "long non-coding RNA (ALYR_LNC003196)". Lineage: Eukaryota; Viridiplantae; Streptophyta; Magnoliopsida; Brassicales; Brassicaceae. The record is from RNAcentral.